GAUGGUGGUGCUCUGUUGGACGACAAGGCCAAGAGAAUGAAAGAUCUGUUGUCGAGCGUCUACUCCGCAGAUCGUCCUCCUUCAAUGCCCUCCAAUAAUUCUUCCAAAUACGCAAGCUUGACACCAUCAACACCACUUCUUUCGAUGCUGAACAAUACAUGAAUCUCCUCGUGCGAGCAAUUUGGAAUACAAUUAGGGCUGUGAUGGAAUUGCUUUAUAACUACGUACACAACAAAAGUACUCUUCGCUCCUUCUCACUAUCUCAAACAUGGAAGGUUCUGAUGCAUUCUUUUUUAAUUUACUUGCACAAGCACGUAGAUACACAAGCUGCUCAUGUAGAGUGCUAAGCUGACAAGCUCUCCCUCUUUACGACCAAUUCAUUUAUAGUGGAAGAAAUGCAAGGUUUUUUCAAAAGAAGGCUCUGCCUAUGGAAGGGGGGUGAGUUUCAAAAUUAUUGGGGACAUUAUAGCUUGGCUCUCUUCGUGGAGAUGAUUUUUCACUUUGCUAAAAUCAGAUAAUCAGUGACAAUUGUAAGCUCUCCAAUCUAACUUUUAAUGAAUAACAAUAGGUUUUGCAGUACUUAAUAGUUAUGCUCCGAUUUCAAAUUCCGUUAUGUGUCCUCAGUAAGUUUUAUGCCCCUCAAUAACCUUAUGCUUCCAUUCACAUGUCGUUAUCUUCAUAGGAAAUUUUCUUCAUUUGAAACAUCAAAUGCCUUUUAAUACAGGAUCAAAAUGUUUGAAAAACUCGGCUUUCUUUGUUAUUCCGAGUACAUAUACACAAAAUACUAUGGAAAUAAAAUAGAAUUCAUUGGAUGGGGCAACUUAGUUGAUUUAGCUUGAGAUUGUACUCCGUUCGGUCGUUUGUCACGGGCAUGCGCUAGAAAAUGUUUGGAUGUGCCAUUAUUUUAUGCUCACACAUUUCCAUGGAUAGAAGUCAUGACACUAAAAUUUUGAGUCGUGCGGCACGGUUAUGCGCUAGUUAUAUAUAACUUGAAGAGUUAUGGGAAUCUGGUAGGUUUUGCCAUCCCAAAUAUGAGAUUGUAUGUGUAGCCAUUUGUUUCUCAAUGGCUUGGAAAAUCCAGUUAGAAACUCAUUUGGUUUGGAAUUUGGAAUUUUGUUUGCUGUUUUAUUUUACUUUGAUUUUGUGAUACUAUAACCACAUCCACAACAUGCUCUUUGGAACUCAACCAUGGUGACAAAAGGCUCAAGUUGGUAAUCGCCGAUUGCUGUGGUCAGUGGAUGGCUUCACUUGCGGGGCAAUUGAAAAUGCAUGCCCAAGAUAGAUAUGGUUUUAGUUUGCUCCUUUUUCUAAAACCAACUUCAGAAAAUUUAACAUGAUGUGGUUUGCUCCAUUGUUGUAAUUCUGAAUUUAUUUCUAGGUGUGACUUGAUUAUGGGAUCUUGAGCUAUUGUUUUUCUUAAGUGGUUUGAAUGUGUUAAGUUUAUGUAUGCGUUAAGUUUAUGUAGCAAGGUAGUGGUGUCAAUCUUGAGCAAGAAUAGAAAAUGAACCUUUUGGUGACCUUAUCGUACCCAUCUUGAUAAAUUACAUUUCACAGUUUUGAUUUGAUCUCAUCUUUCGUGGUUUGUUGGGACUUAAGACUAGAAGUGUGGUAUUAGAAACAAUAGGGCUGGAUUUGCUGAGACAAAUGGAUUUUUUCUGGUUUCAAAGUUUUUGAGAUGUUUUGUAUCUUUUAUCUAAUAAUGGCUUCAGUGAUAUCUAAUAGUGGCUGCAAUGAUUUAGCUGUACAAAAUCAUUUUGGUUUUGCAUUACUUAUAUGCAUUUAUGCCCCAUUAUUUUGCAGGGAUUUUCGGGGAGGAUCCCUGGCGCUAUCCCCAUGUCAAAGCAUUUACACAAUGCAAUUGGUUACUGAGGUCUACUUGCAGGCCAUUAGGCGGGAACAACAGUUAUGGGUUUCAAUAUGCUAAGCAAAUCAGCUGCCGAUAGGUCAUAGUAGUGGAUGGCGAAAUGGUGUCUGGAUCUGCAGUUGUGGCUUUAACGACUAUUCUUCUCAUGAACAGUGCAACAAGUGCAAUGCUUCCAUGCCACCAGUGCUUGAAACAAGCGAUUUGCAUCUCAAGAACUUUUUCAUGACUGAGGUAAUAAGAGAUUGAAUGUAGGACUGGGAAUUACAGACUCUUCUUGGGCUGCAGAAUGUGUACCCAUUGUCUGACCAAAUAGCUGUUUCUGGUGGCAACCAAACUGCCGUGUAUCCCCCUCCCUCCUAUCCAAGUGGAAGCUCAGCUACGGCUCCAAAUUUACCUGUCAAUUUGCAGUUUCCUCAUGUGGCAACAACGGCUACGAUCCUUGGCAAAGGGUAAAUUGGACCAUGUUAUCCUUUUCAUGCAUGAAUUUGAUACACUUUGGACCAAGUAAUUAGUUUUGUGCGGAGAAUGCAUCAUGCUUGUUCGUACGUGCUGAACUUAAUUUAUGCUUUUGUUGUCUUCUGUUCUCGAAAUCUUUUGGACCGUUUUAGUUUGUUUGCAUGUACAUCCAUUGCUGCUUUCAAAAAAUAACAACAGAACAACUAUGCCAAAUUAUUGAUGUGUUCUUUCAGUUCAACUAUUUUGGAUGUGGGAUGUGGUACGAGCUACUAUGAGGGAGUACUCAAGGACAUCUGAGUUCGCCUGUAGGGCUCCGCAUUCUGAUACCUUUUGUGGACAACUUGUGGCCAUGCACAUUACUAUCUCAUUUAGGGCUUGGCAUAGAAAUGUUAGCAAGGAUAAUUGCACAGUAAUGCGGAAUUGGACCUGGUUAGAAGUUUAAGUAUGUGGGUGCCAUGGCUACUUCUGUAAACUUAUUGUUGUAGGACGUUAGUCAUGGAUUGAAGGCAUUUUUUUAAACUAAAAAAUAGUGGGUUAAGGAAGGGGAGGUUAGAGGGAUGUUGAAUCAAAAGGCACUAUGUCAUUAGUUUUGUUGCCUCUUUAUUUUUUGAUGAUAGUUGAAUUCACUUACAUUCCACAUUUUAGCAAUUUUUACUUCAAGUCUAGAUAAGCUAGGAUGGCAUGCAUGUCAUACAAUCCCUUAACUUUUUAACAAAGUUUUGAUUUGGUUUUAUUUUUUCAGAGUGAGCAAUUAAUAGAAUUUUUUAAGACUACAUACGAAGCUGCUCUCUCUCCGCACUAUCUCAAAUCUUUUGUUAUAAUAAGGGAUGAGUAUUAUUAACAUUGUUGUGGCCUAGGUAUCGAAAAAGUUAUGUUAGCUAUCGAUUACUCUCUUAUGUUAGGUUGAUUAUGUUUACUCUCUUUUUUUAUGAAUAAUUUAUCAAGUGCACUUAGUACACUUGACCACGUCACAUGUGCUAUAAUAGAACAGUGAAAGCUUGGUUGUUGUCCUUUUUUUGCUUCUGACCGCAGGGUAUUGAGAACAGAUAGCUAGGUGAUAUUUGGAGGCAAUUGGGAUCGUGUAAUGAGUGAGAGGAGAGAGCAAAGUCUCUGGGCCUAUUUGCUACUUUAACCAGUCCAUAUACUAUGCUUCUAUAACUACUUCAAUUUGCUUCAUGCAUUCCCAACUUCACCAUUACAUGCUAAACUAAUUUGUGCUAAAUCAAAGCCUAUUCUCUUUAACCACAAAUCGACGGGCAUGACAUUCGUGCAGUGCACAAAGCCCUUAAUCUAGUUCUUUAUGGAAUACUAUUUUUCGUAGUGCACUAUAGUCUACACACGUGCUAAUCCAAAACGUAUUUUAAAACUAGAAGUCUGGUAUGGGUCAUAUGGAAUAUCAUGGUAUGUUUUUGAAAGUACGUAACAUUUGGAAAUUGUGUAACGUACUAGUCAACUUUGUUGCAUUUGAAGUCACGUUGAACCAUGAAUUGCUUUCAGACUUUCAAAAGAUCUUACUCCAUGGAAAGAAAGAUAGCACCUAUUAGGUGUUUGACUAAAUGCCCAACAAUGGGUGAUGAGGUAAGAGGGUUAAGGGCAUCCAAAAUAGUUUAUAAUCUAUAUGUUUGUUGAUGGGGAAGGCUUUGAUAGAUGGGAUUCUGAAGGAAAAAAAAAAAAAGGGGGGGGUGGGGGAGGGGAUGGGAGAGAGACAUUAAAUGGAGGAUUUUAAAUAGUUCUAUAUGUAGGAUAUGGAUGUGACGUGCGUUGUACUUGAAUUUUUCUUUUCCAAAAUUGUUGCUUGAAAGGUGACCCUUUAUGUAGAAUUCUGGAUCCGCCACUGGUGAGAGCUAAUUUUUUUUGUUGUAUUUCUGUCUAUAGUCAAGUUAGAUUUACAUGUGAAAUUGGUUCUAAACUAAACAUGAGUUUCACUUUGGAUUUAGUACGCUUUCUUUGUCUCUCUCCCUCUCUCUCUGGCUUACUGAUGAAUUAAAUUUUUUUGUCAAUUUUCCUCGUUUAGACAAGUUAAGUGGGACUGCAAUUUGUUGGGUUUGAGAACUUGAAUCUUG
Rhododendron vialii is the source of this 4383-nucleotide RNA transcript. RefSeq lists it as uncharacterized. The transcript is spliced from 7 exons. The record is from RefSeq and is a predicted model, not a curated record. Lineage: Eukaryota; Viridiplantae; Streptophyta; Magnoliopsida; Ericales; Ericaceae.